Molecule: ribosomal RNA, 252 nt
Filed under: Phascolarctobacterium succinatutens YIT 12067
Lineage: Bacteria; Bacillati; Bacillota; Negativicutes; Acidaminococcales; Acidaminococcaceae
Description: partial 16S ribosomal RNA
Rfam family: Bacterial small subunit ribosomal RNA
Source: RNAcentral
UACGUAGGUGGCGAGCGUUGUCCGGAAUUAUUGGGCGUAAAGAGCAUGUAGGCGGUUUUUUAAGUCUGGAGUGAAAAUGCGGGGCUCAACCCCGUAUGGCUCUGGAUACUGGAAGACUUGAGUGCAGGAGAGGAAAGGGGAAUUUCCAGUGUAGCGGUGAAAUGCGUAGAUAUUGGGAGGAACACCAGUGGCGAAGGCGCCUUUCUGGACUGUGUCUGACGCUGAGAUGCGAAAGCCAGGGUAGCGAACGGG